This 496-nucleotide ribosomal RNA is filed under the name uncultured bacterium. RNAcentral's name for it is "partial 16S ribosomal RNA". It matches the Rfam family "Bacterial small subunit ribosomal RNA", at positions 28 to 523 of the family's 1533-position model. The record is from RNAcentral.
GAUGAACGCUAGCGGCAGGCCUAAUACAUGCAAGUCGAACGAUACUUUCCAGCUUGCUGGAGAGGAAAGUGGCGCACGGGUGCGUAACGCGUAUGCAACCUACCUUAAUCAGGGGGAUAGCCCGAAGAAAUUCGUAUUAACACCGCAUAAAAUCACAGUAUAGCAUUAUACAAUGAUCAAAUAUUUAUAGGAUUAAGAUGGUCAUGCGUGACAUUAGUUAGUUGGCGGUAACGGCCCACCAAGACCACGAUGUCUAGGGGAUCUGAGAGGAUGACCCCCCACACUGGUACUGAGACACGGACCAGACUCCUACGGGAGGCAGCAGUAAGGAAUAAUGGUCAAUGGAGGCAACUCUGAACCAGCCAUGCCGCGUGCAGGAAGACAGCCCUCUGGGUCGUAAACUGCUUUUAUUCGGGAAUAAACCUAUCUACGUGUAGAUAGCUGAAUGUACCGAAGGAAUAAGGAUCGGCUAACUCCGUGCCAGCCGCCGCAGUAA